Non-coding RNA from Equus caballus (horse), 86 nucleotides. Lineage: Eukaryota; Metazoa; Chordata; Mammalia; Perissodactyla; Equidae. The record is from Rfam.
AAAAUGUGUUGUUCUUUUAGUUCUUUUGUAAUUCUGGAGGUACCUCAAAAGAAUCUUAAAGACUGUGGUGAUAAGAUGCUUUCCUC